CCUACGGGGGGCAGCAGUGGGGGAUAUUGCACAAUGGGGGAAACCCUGAUGCAGCGACGCCGCGUGGGUGAAGAAGCGCCUCGGCGCGUAAAGCCCUGUCAGCAGGGAAGAAAAUGACGGUACCUGAAGAAGAAGCCCCGGCUAACUACGUGCCAGCAGCCGCGGUAAUACGUAGGGGGCAAGCGUUAUCCGGAUGUACUGGGUGUAAAGGGGGCGCAGACGGCGAUGCAAGCCAGGAGUGAAAGCCCGGGGCCCAACCCCGGGACUGCUCUUGGAGCUGCGUGGCUAGAGUGCAGGAGGGGCAG
This 305-nucleotide ribosomal RNA is filed under the name uncultured bacterium. Its description in RNAcentral is "bacterial SSU rRNA". It matches the Rfam family "Bacterial small subunit ribosomal RNA", at positions 338 to 660 of the family's 1533-position model. The record is from RNAcentral.